UACGGGGGGGAGCAAGCGUUGUUCGGAUUUACUGGGCGUAAAGGGCGCGUAGGCGGCCACCGCAAGUCGAUUGUGAAAUCUCCGGGCUUAACCCGGAAAGGUCAACCGAUACUGCGGGGCUAGAGUGCAGAAGGGGCAACUGGAAUUCUCGGUGUAGCGGUGAAAUGCGUAGAUAUCGAGAGGAACACCUGCGGCGAAGGCGGGUUGCUGGGCUGACACUGACGCUGAUGCGCGAAAGCCAGGGGAGCGAACGGG
Molecule: ribosomal RNA, 255 nt
Filed under: uncultured bacterium
Lineage: Bacteria
Description: partial 16S ribosomal RNA
Rfam family: Bacterial small subunit ribosomal RNA
Source: RNAcentral